RNAcentral lists this ribosomal RNA (497 nucleotides) under uncultured bacterium. RNAcentral's name for it is "partial 16S ribosomal RNA". It matches the Rfam family "Bacterial small subunit ribosomal RNA", at positions 28 to 507 of the family's 1533-position model. The record is from RNAcentral.
GAUGAACGCUGGCGGCGUGCCUAAUACAUGCAAGUCGAGCGAACAGACGAGGAGCUUGCUCCUCUGACGUUAGCGGCGGACGGGUGAGUAACACGUGGAUAACCUACCUAUAAGACUGGGAUAACUUCGGGAAACCGGAGCUAAUACCGGAUAACAUGUUGAACCGCAUGGUUCAACAGUGAAAGACGGUCUUGCUGCCACUUAUAGAUGGAUCCGCGCCGCUUUAGCUAGUUGGGAAGGUAACGGCUUACCAAGGCAACGAUGCGUAGCCGACCUGAGAGGGUGAUCGGCCACACUGGAACUGAGACACGGUCCAGACUCCUACGGGAGGCAGCAGUAGGGAAUCUUCCGCAAUGGGAGAAAGCCUGACGGAGCAACGCCGCGUGAGUGAUGAAGGUCUUCGGAUCGUAAAACUCUGUUAUUAGGGAAGAACAAAUGUGUAAGUAACUAUGCACGUAUUGACGGUACCUAAUCAGAAAGCCACGGCUAACUACGUG